GAAGAGGAUGUCUCGUAGACGGCGCCGCCUUAAGUCCUUUGGAACAGGGCGUCAAAGAGGGUGAGAGUCCCGUAUUGGGGCGGAGGCCUGAUGCAUGUGAGACUCCUUCGACGAGUCGAGUUGUUUGGGAAUGCAGCUCUAAUUGGGAGGUAAAUUCCUUCUAAGGCUAAAUAUCGGCCGGAGACCGAUAGCGCACAAGUAGAGUGAUCGAAAGAUGAAAAGCACUUUGAAAAGAGAGUCAAAAAGCACGUGAAAUUGUUGAAAGGGAAGCGCUUGCCAUCAGACUCGCCCGCGGUCGAUCAGCUUCACGGCGCAUUCGUCCGCGGCCGGGCCAGCGUCGUUUCGGGCGGCCGGAGAAAGGCUGUGGGAAUGUAGCUCCUCACGGGGAGUGUUAUAGCCCAUGGUGAAAUGCGGCCUGUCUGGAUCGAGGUCCGCGCUU
This 439-nucleotide ribosomal RNA is filed under the name Anisomeridium ubianum. Its description in RNAcentral is "eukaryotic LSU rRNA". It matches the Rfam family "Eukaryotic large subunit ribosomal RNA", at positions 151 to 602 of the family's 3401-position model. The record is from RNAcentral. Lineage: Eukaryota; Fungi; Ascomycota; Dothideomycetes; Monoblastiales; Monoblastiaceae.